UGUGUGUGUGUGUGUGUGUGUGUGUGUGUGAUCAGCCUGAGUUGGUGUGAAGUGUGUGGGUGUGGGUGUUUUCAGCCACAAUGAUGUUGUGCUUGAUCUUAUUGGACCACAGCUAUAUUGUAUUAAUACAAGACAUUAUAUUCUAGAUAUUAAAUGGUACCUGCUGGAACUUUCCAAUGGUCAUUUUCUGAGUUCCAUAGUGAUGUUUGUGGAAUUGACCAGUAAAUAUAUUCCCCCUUAGUAAUGGCUACUGUGGUCAGUGACACCUUGGUCAUAUUUUCCUUUGAGCUGCAUUGUGACACACAGCAAUACUGCUGUGUGGAAAGCUUCUUUCUUGAGCUCUUUACACCACAGAUAUGAUUUAUACACGCCCCUGUACUUUCUCCGACCAAAUUGUAGGCUGGGGUCUGAAUGUGUAGGGGUGAGAAAGAAAAUAAGUUAUGAAUGUGAAAGUGUAAUGUUAGCCAGACUCUCUCCAGUCAGCACUUAGCGUCACAAUGAAACUGCUCUACGCACUCUUCUUCUGUAUGUUCUCCUGCCUCUGUGUCAGUGAAGCAUUGACUUGGCCCAGCUUUUGUUGCUUGAAAACAAAUUCGAUUGAAAGACUACCUGUAAAAAAUGUUGCAGAAUGUAAAGUACAGAGCAGUGGACUUUGCCCAAUUGAUGCAAUCAUUAUCAAGACACAUAAAGGCCGGAUGAACUGUUAUGAUCCUAAGGCAGAGUGGGUUGUUAAAAAUGUUGUAAUGAAGGAAACCAACUCUUGUGACAUCACAAUUAAGAAGAGAGGAAAAGGACAAAAGAGAAAACAGGGAAGAGAAAAAUGAGUAACAGGAAGAGAAAAAUAAAGAAGCUGAACUUAAAAGCAGUAAAACGGGGUUUAUCUAAAGAAUAGUAAAACAUUGAACUACAGUGUUUGAUUUGGAUGGCCUGGAUUUAACAUUUAUUAAUAACUUGUCUUUUUCCCUACUUCAAACAAUUUAGUUUUCUGAAUGUGAAAAGAAAGAAUGCACAAUACCUAUACAUACCUUUUUUAAAUACUCGUGGAUCUUAAAGGGUUGUAAUAUUUUCUGUUAAAACACAUUCUUUCCUGUGUUAUGUAAAUAUAUUGUUUUCAAUUUACAUGUAUCAAUUAUAUAAGUCAAUAACUAAAAAUAUCCACAUUUCCUUUUUAUAUUUUUCAUGUUCAUUACUGACACACUUUAAACAGUCUGAUGUAAUAUUUGAUCAAUAAUCCAAAAUAUUUAGUUUUUU
Silurus meridionalis is the source of this 1251-nucleotide long non-coding RNA. RefSeq lists it as uncharacterized. The record is from RefSeq and is a predicted model, not a curated record. The transcript has 3 exons. Lineage: Eukaryota; Metazoa; Chordata; Actinopteri; Siluriformes; Siluridae.